This is a non-coding RNA of Pelobates cultripes (western spadefoot toad), 230 nucleotides long. NCBI's taxonomy places the organism in Eukaryota, Metazoa, Chordata, Amphibia, Anura, Pelobatidae. The record is from the annotation of a GenBank genome assembly.
CGUUGCCGCAGUGGGAAUACGAUAGCAUUAUACAAAUAUAUUUGGGCCAAAUACAAACCAUUGUCUGGAAACCUAUUUAUAUACAGAACCAUACAUUGGCCCUGAUGUCCAUUUAGACAGGAAAAGGCAGUGUUUACAUUAAAAAGCCUGCAGGGACUGAUUACAGACACCUGGACAAUGACAUUAAGCUGUAGCUGUUCUGGUGUCUAUAGUGUCCCUUUAAGGCUGUU